Molecule: ribosomal RNA, 465 nt
Filed under: Vreelandella stevensii
Lineage: Bacteria; Pseudomonadati; Pseudomonadota; Gammaproteobacteria; Oceanospirillales; Halomonadaceae
Description: partial 16S ribosomal RNA
Rfam family: Bacterial small subunit ribosomal RNA
Source: RNAcentral
CCUACGUGGGGCAGCAGUGGGGAAUAUUGGACAAUGGGCGAAAGCCUGAUCCAGCCAUGCCGCGUGUGUGAAGAAGGCCUUCGGGUUGUAAAGCACUUUCAGUGGGGAAGAAAGCCUUGGGGCUAAUACCCUCGAGGAAGGACAUCACCCACAGAAGAAGCACCGGCUAACUCCGUGCCAGCAGCCGCGGUAAUACGGAGGGUGCGAGCGUUAAUCGGAAUUACUGGGCGUAAAGCGCGCGUAGGCGGUCUGAUAAGCCGGUUGUGAAAGCCCCGGGCUCAACCUGGGAACGGCAUCCGGAACUGUCAGGCUAGAGUGCAGGAGAGGAAGGUAGAAUUCCCGGUGUAGCGGUGAAAUGCGUAGAGAUCGGGAGGAAUACCAGUGGCGAAGGCGGCCUUCUGGACUGACACUGACGCUGAGGUGCGAAAGCGUGGGUAGCAAACAGGAUUAGAUACCCUAGUAGUC